AAAACGCCCUUAGACUUCCCCUAGAAACAAGGAGCUGGUAUCAGGCGCAAAAAUCUGCCCAAGACACCUAGCUAUGCCACACCCACAAGGGACUUCAGCAGUGAUUAAUAUUGAGCAUAAGCGACAGCUUGACUCAGUUAAAGUAAAAAGAGCCGGCAAAUCUGGUGCCAGCCGCCGCGGUUACACCACGUGACUCAAAUUGAUCCUUUUCGGCGUAAAGCGUGAUUAAAGUUAUUCACAAUUGGAGUUAAACCAUAAUUAAGCUGUAACACGCUUGUAUGUGAGAAGACCAAAAACGAAAGUUACUCCAAUUAGUUCGACUUGAACUCACGACAGCUGGGGAACAAACUGGGAUUAGAUACCCCACUAUGCCCAGCCGUAAACCUUUAAUUACACCCACCUCGCCUGGGAACUACGAGCCAAGCUUAAAACCCAAAGGACUUGACGGUACCCCACAUCCACCUAGAGGAGCCUGUCCUAUAAUCGAUACUCCCCGUUUAACCUCACCAUCUUUAGUUUAUCAGCCUGUAUACCUCCGUCGUCAGCUUACCGCGUGAGUGAUAUAAGUGAGCUUAAUGCCCAUACGCCAACACGUCAGGUCAAGGUGCAGCAAAUGAGAUGGGAAGAGAUGGGCUACACUCUCUAAUUUAGAGCAUACGAAAGACUAUCUAUGAAACCCUAGUCGGAAGGCGGAUUUAAAAGUAAAAAGAGACCAACAAGCUCUUUUUAACCCGGCACUGGGGUGUGUACACACCGCCCGUCACCCUCUUCAAGGCCCACAAAUAGUUCUUAACUAACCCCCAUUGCCGCAGAGAAG
RNAcentral lists this ribosomal RNA (817 nucleotides) under Crossodactylodes sp. 2 MTS-2020. Its description in RNAcentral is "partial 12S ribosomal RNA". It matches the Rfam family "Bacterial small subunit ribosomal RNA", at positions 202 to 1478 of the family's 1533-position model. The record is from RNAcentral. Lineage: Eukaryota; Metazoa; Chordata; Amphibia; Anura; Leptodactylidae.